CUAAUCCGAAACCGGGAUUUUUUGAAAAUGUUGGAAUAAGCGAGACAACGGUGUCUUAGCAAUUUUGAAGCUAGCUAAAGUUUGGCAGAGCACGAGUUAAGACUUUGGUGGGCUUUUUCAAGAUAAAAUUGUUGAAAUCAAAGAUGUUUAUGGCUAGCUAGCUAAUCUUGGCUUUAUCACAAGAUUGGGUGCUAUUUUAUACAAUUUAUAAAGAAACACAACAUGAUUGCUUUGUACAUAUUUAAUGUAUAUAAUAAACUAUUUAUGCACAACUUGAGUUAUUUUCUACUAGCAUGAUAAACUAGAAUGUUGAAACUGUCGACUCUGAAUGACGUUUUAUUUAAUGUAUGAUGUCACAUAUUUGGCCUGAAAACCCUUAGGACCAAAAGUGACCCUUUGGACAAUUUCGGACAGAUAAAUAUUACAUCUACAUCAUCUUUAAUGGCCUCAGAAUCCAAAGUAAUGUUUUUUAUUCAGUUAAUAAACGAAUUUUAAGCAUACAUU
Molecule: long non-coding RNA, 504 nt
Organism: Hydractinia symbiolongicarpus
Lineage: Eukaryota; Metazoa; Cnidaria; Hydrozoa; Anthoathecata; Hydractiniidae
Exons: 2
Source: RefSeq, a predicted model, not a curated record